This is a non-coding RNA of Giardia lamblia ATCC 50803, 72 nucleotides long. NCBI's taxonomy places the organism in Eukaryota, Fornicata, Diplomonadida, Hexamitidae. The record is from Rfam.
GCCGGGAUAGCUCAGUGGUAGAGCGUGGCACUCGUAAUGCUAAGGUCGUGGGUUCAACUCCCGCUCUCGGCU